Molecule: ribosomal RNA, 725 nt
Filed under: Gambierdiscus australes
Lineage: Eukaryota; Dinophyceae; Gonyaulacales; Pyrocystaceae
Description: LSU rRNA
Rfam family: Eukaryotic large subunit ribosomal RNA
Source: RNAcentral
AACUGCUGGACAAGGAGUGUUCUGUUGAGCUCAUUUUCACACGAUGAACAACUGGCUUAGAACUGAUUCGGGCAAGGGGAAUCCGACUGUUUAAUUGAAACAAAGCAUUGCGAGGGCCUCAAAGGGUGGUGCCACAAUGUGAUUUCUGCCCAGUGCUCUGAAUGUCAAAGUGAGGAAAUUCAACUAAGCGCGGGUAAACGGCGGGAGUAACUAUGACUCUCUUAAGGUAGCCAAAUGCCUCGUCAUCCAAUUAGUGACGCGCAUGAAUGGAUUAAUGAGAUUCCCACUGUCCCCAUCUACUGUCCAGCGAAACCACAGCCAAGGGAACGGGCUUGGGUAAAUCAGCGGGGAAAGAAGACCCUGUUGAGCUUGACUCUAAUCUGACUUUGUGAAAUGACUUAGGAGGUGUAGGAUAUGUGGGAGCUCUGGUGAUCUUGAAAUACCACUACUCUUAAUGUCACUUUACUUACUCNAUCAGACUGUGGCCUGCUUCCCAGCAGGUUUUUGUUUCAAGGCAUCUCAUCUGACUUGUUGACUUGCGUAGAGGACGUAGUCAGGUGGGCAGUUUGGCUGGGGCGGCACAUCUGUUAAAGGAUAACGCAGGUGUCCCAAGGUAAGCUCAAGGAGAACAGAAAUCUCAUGUGGAUCAGAAGGGGAAAUGCUUGCUUGAUUUUGCUUUUCAGUGUGAAGACAAACUGUGCAAACAUGGCCUAUCGAUCCUUUGG